RNA transcript from Condylostylus longicornis, 750 nucleotides. It is a transcript of the gene named 52 kDa repressor of the inhibitor of the protein kinase-like, with no coding region annotated. NCBI's taxonomy places the organism in Eukaryota, Metazoa, Arthropoda, Insecta, Diptera, Dolichopodidae. The record is from RefSeq and is a predicted model, not a curated record. The transcript has 4 exons.
UCAAAAGUUAUUAAGUGGCAUUUGUUCAUAAAAAUUUAAAAAUGGGAAAGUGUAAAGUAAAAAACUGUAAGAAUUAUGAGGGCAAAAAGACUGAAAAACAAAUUAAGUUUUUUAAGCUUCCUAAAGAUGAAAUAUUGCGCGCAAAGUGGUUGACAGCUUGUGGUUUGAAUAAACAAUGUUCUAUGAAUACUGUAAAAGUGUGUUCAGAUCAUUUUGUAGAAUCCGAUUAUUGUUUGAAAGAUGUUUUACUAAACACAACAACCAAAAAAAAACAUUUGAAAAAGGAAGCUGUACCGAGCCAAAAUAUCCCGGAUAUUUAUGAAUAUAUGGAUAAUAAAACUAAUAGGAGAAGCAAGAAAGAACGGCAAAAUUUAAUAAAAAAAGUUUUGAAAUAUCAUGAAGGUUUUAUUGACAGUGAGUUUGAAGCUAUGGAAGUAAUAAAUGAUAAUGCUGCGAAUGUGGCUUCUCCAACAACAUGGAACUUAGAAAAUGCUAAAGAUCGAGAAAUACUGAAAUUAAAAAGAAAGUUGAAAAACGCACAGUCAAAAAUCAAAAUGCUAAAGAAGAUUGUGUCAAGAUGAAAAAGUUUUUGGUUUUAUUCAGGCUAGUGGUGGUCUUCACGACCAUGCCAAUCCAUUGGAGUUUUAGUAUAGAGGUAGCAGUCAAAAAGUUAGUACAUGUAGUAACGUAGAAGGGGAACGUAGAAGAGGGUUUUGAAACUGAAACUUCAACAUGGCAAUUGCUUAGGGA